ACCCAACUGCUAUCGGGGUGGGACUAAGCCAUGCGAGUUGUGCGUUUCCUAGCCACGGUGGAAGCGCAGCGCACGGCUCAGUAACACGUGGCUAACUUACCCUCAAGACGGGGACAACCUCGGGAAACUGAGGCUAAUAUCUGAUAGGUGGGGAGGCCUGGAAUGGUCCCUCACCGAAAAGGAGCUAGCGGCAUGCUUGCUAGUUUCGCUUGAGGAUAGGGCCGCGUCCGAUCAGGUCGCUGGUGAGGUAAUGGCUCACCAGGCCUAUAACCGGUACGGGCCGUGAGAGCGGUAGCCCGGAGAUGGGCACUGAGAUAAGGGCCCAGGCCCUACGGGGCGCAGCAGGCGCGAAAACUUCGCAAUGCGCGAAAGCGUGACGAGGUCACUCCGAGUGCCGUCCGCCGAGGAUGGCUUUUGCUUGGUUUAACCAGCCGGGUGAAUAAGGGGAGGGCAAGUCUGGUGUCAGCCGCCGCGGUAAUACCAGCUCCCCGAGUGGUUGGGACGAUUAUUGGGUCUGAAGCGUCCGUAGCCGGCCGGAAAAGUUCCCCGUUAAAUCUGGCGAUCCAAUCGUUGGGCUGCGGGGAAUACUCUUCGGCUUGGGGGCGAGGGAGGUCGGCGGUAGUCCCGGGGUAGGGGCGAAAUCCUAUAGUCCCGGGAGGACCACCAGUGGCGAAGGCGGGCCGACUAAAACGCGCCCGACGGUGAGGGACGAAAGCUGGGGGGAGCGAACGGGAUUAGAUACCCCGGUAGUCCCAGCUGUAAACGAUGCAGGCUUAGGUGUUGGGACGGCUACGAGCUGUCCAGUGCCGCAGGGAAGCCAUUAAGCCUGCCACCUGGGAAGUACGGCCGCAAGG
This 854-nucleotide ribosomal RNA is filed under the name uncultured soil archaeon. RNAcentral describes it as "bacterial SSU rRNA". It matches the Rfam family "Archaeal small subunit ribosomal RNA", at positions 21 to 848 of the family's 1478-position model. The record is from RNAcentral.